This 252-nucleotide ribosomal RNA is filed under the name uncultured bacterium. RNAcentral describes it as "partial 16S ribosomal RNA". It matches the Rfam family "Bacterial small subunit ribosomal RNA", at positions 524 to 776 of the family's 1533-position model. The record is from RNAcentral.
UACGGAGGAUGCGAGCGUUAUCCGGAUUUAUUGGGUUUAAAGGGUGCGUAGGCGGGCUUUUAAGUCAGCGGUAAAAAUUCGGGGCUCAACCCCGUCCGGCCGUUGAAACUGGGGGCCUUGAGUGGGCGAGAAGAAGGCGGAAUGCGUGGUAUAGCGGUGAAAUGCAUAGAUAUCACGCAGAACCCCGAUUGCGAAGGCAGCCUUCCGGCGCCCUACUGGCGCUGAGGCACGAAAGUGCGGGGAUCGAACAGG